RNAcentral lists this ribosomal RNA (681 nucleotides) under Enterobacter roggenkampii. Its description in RNAcentral is "bacterial SSU rRNA". It matches the Rfam family "Bacterial small subunit ribosomal RNA", at positions 851 to 1532 of the family's 1533-position model. Lineage: Bacteria; Pseudomonadati; Pseudomonadota; Gammaproteobacteria; Enterobacterales; Enterobacteriaceae. The record is from RNAcentral.
GCUAACGCGUUAAGUCGACCGCCUGGGGAGUACGGCCGCAAGGUUAAAACUCAAAUGAAUUGACGGGGGCCCGCACAAGCGGUGGAGCAUGUGGUUUAAUUCGAUGCAACGCGAAGAACCUUACCUACUCUUGACAUCCAGAGAACUUUCCAGAGAUGGAUUGGUGCCUUCGGGAACUCUGAGACAGGUGCUGCAUGGCUGUCGUCAGCUCGUGUUGUGAAAUGUUGGGUUAAGUCCCGCAACGAGCGCAACCCUUAUCCUUUGUUGCCAGCGGUCCGGCCGGGAACUCAAAGGAGACUGCCAGUGAUAAACUGGAGGAAGGUGGGGAUGACGUCAAGUCAUCAUGGCCCUUACGAGUAGGGCUACACACGUGCUACAAUGGCGCAUACAAAGAGAAGCGACCUCGCGAGAGCAAGCGGACCUCAUAAAGUGCGUCGUAGUCCGGAUUGGAGUCUGCAACUCGACUCCAUGAAGUCGGAAUCGCUAGUAAUCGUAGAUCAGAAUGCUACGGUGAAUACGUUCCCGGGCCUUGUACACACCGCCCGUCACACCAUGGGAGUGGGUUGCAAAAGAAGUAGGUAGCUUAACCUUCGGGAGGGCGCUUACCACUUUGUGAUUCAUGACUGGGGUGAAGUCGUAACAAGGUAACCGUAGGGGAACCUGCGGUUGGAUCACCUCCUU